UUGAACCUCGAUAUCUUUUGCCAUCAUUUUGAAGGUGAUGGCAGGCGAUGAGCUGGACUGAGGCGGUACAUUUAUCAAACGGUUGCUUAGAUGUCCCAAGGUCACCUCAGUCAGGACGGAAACCUGGAGUGGAAUAAAAGGGCAAAAGUCGACUAUUUAAUUUGGUUUCCAGACCAUCUACCCUUUUGACUCUGGUAAUCGGAGUUUAAGGCAAGACGUCGCAGAAAAGUGACCA
Molecule: non-coding RNA, 235 nt
Filed under: Clonorchis sinensis
Lineage: Eukaryota; Metazoa; Platyhelminthes; Trematoda; Opisthorchiida; Opisthorchiidae
Description: Eukaryotic large subunit ribosomal RNA
Rfam family: Eukaryotic large subunit ribosomal RNA
Source: Rfam by way of RNAcentral